GAAGGGCAGGUGGCAUGGAGGUUAUUUUAGGAGGGUAGAAAAAUGCAGCAUGUGGAACCCAUUCCUUGGGCUGAGGUACAAGAGCAGAUAAACCAAGAUUCUACGGUCGAUGCUUAUACAAAGCAGAUAAACCUUCAACUUCCAAGAGGGCACCAAAUACAUCCACAGAAUGUCUGAGAGGCUCAUCAAAAUAAGAACUGAAAACUGGGCAAAGGGAUACAGAGGUGAGUAGGAAGGAGUCGGAUAGCUGGGAAGAGAGAGAAGGGAGAGGACCAAGAAGAUGGGAAAAUCUGGGGCAUGAUUCUUUCCACCAAUUUCUCCAUAAAUUUGGAUCUUAUAUGUCUUCAAAGAAGGAAGGCAACUUUGCGCCUCACGAGAAAAGUGAUCAAUGAACUUUGUGUCACCUCUUGGAGGUCCAGCGCAAGCAAGGACACUGCGGACACAUGGAUGGUCCUUUCCAUAAACACAGCUAAGACCUGGGAAAAUCAAAUAUAAGCUGCCCAGAGGACACACGGUCUAGUUACUUCCCCUGCAAGAACAGCUCAUACUGUGGCUUUUCAUGAUCUCACUAGAAAUCUGAACCUUCAAAAGAACAAUUGGUCUGUACAUUUGUGCCUAAGUCCUUGACUUAGUGAUAUGGUAAGUCAGGCACCGAGUUACAGCCUAGUUUGCUGAUGGAUAAAAUAAAGGGUGGGACAGUGGAGAGAAUUUCUCCUUAGAGAAUUCCAGAAACAUAGUGUCCUGAGUAUAUUCCAAACCAUUCAAGCACCAUCUCUCAGGUCUUUGCUUUGCCCUCAGCAGAGAUGUUCAGAGAGAACGGCUCCAAUGUCAGAUAGGUUAAAUUGAAAUCACCACAUUAAAAAGAUAAUCCCUAAAGAGCAAAAAAUAUUUCCAAGCAAAUAUUUCCAAGCUCUAGCCAUUGGUCUAUUUAUUUAAAGCAAUAUUAGAUAAAGCAAAAGUCCUACCCAAGGAAAGGAUCGGACAAGGCCCUCAGAGGUCACUUCAAUAGGAUUGCUGGGCCCUGACAAGUUUAAAGGGACCCAGUGUAUCAGGAGUGACAUUUCAAAGAGGGAUUUUAUUUUAGUCACACCAAUGACUCACUGUGAGAACAAGUGGGGACAAUAGCAGCCCAAGAACGUGACAGAUCGUAGCAAGGAAGGGAUGUUUGACAAACGGAACCCUUUCAUGAUAAUCUCAACAAUGUAAUCUGUACAUGUGUGUGAAACUCCACCUCAGCGGCUGUGCGCCAAGGUUAGGGGCUGCCCGGAGGAUGCACUGGGCCCCAGAAGUCUGUAGGUCGUACACUUUUAUUUUUCUACCAGCCUUCUGCCUCUAAAGAUGAGCUGGGAAAUUUCUUGUCCAAAUUACAUUUUGAAACAACUUACUCAAACUUUAGAAAUAGCAAGGAAUGUUGAGAAAUAAACCUAUUCUGCUGGCAAGUGCAGAACUAUAUACUACAGAUGC
Non-coding RNA from Manis javanica (Malayan pangolin), 1464 nucleotides. Lineage: Eukaryota; Metazoa; Chordata; Mammalia; Pholidota; Manidae. The record is from RefSeq and is a predicted model, not a curated record.